ACAUGAUCUGAUCCACACAAAAGGAGCCGACCAGUUUUUCCUUGGGUAGAUGCCAUCAGUGGCAAGGGGUAUUACAAGAGAAAACACAGUUUGCUUUUAAAGUAGGUUGAAGAGUAGCGAAUCAGUAAAAUGAUUUUCCACUAAACUCAAAUAGCUAACGUUCGAAAGUUAACCAAGACAGUUCAAAAUUCAAAUCCAUUCUUUUCUCCAAUAGGCUGAAACUGGAUAUCUGAUUGGGACAACGUAGCCUCCGGCACGCUCUUCUCUUACCCUGCGUUGUUCCUGUACCCACCACCUGCUCGUAGCCUUCCCGCCAGUGUCCAGUUUCCUCUUUCGGCGAGACGACAAAUCCUCAUGGUCUCGACGAAUCCUCUGGCAGUUCAAAUCGUUUCAAUUCUUUGAAGGAGAUUUGAUGUAGAAUUAUGAAGUUUGCAAAGAGAGGAAAACGAUAUAAAUAUGGUGUCCCGGUUGUACCCCAAAACCACCCCGAUUCAUUUGCCCCUUCUUCCUCUUACGUUAGAAACCCUAACCCUAACUCCCUUUCUCAGAUUCUCGAUCUGCCGGCAUCUUCCUUUUCUCAGUCUCCGAUAGCCCCUUCAUCUUUUCCACUUCUCCGGUAAAGGUAAUAGAUAUAUGAAGGUGGCUCUCCUCCUCCUACUUUUGGGUCUGAACCUCUGGGCUAUUGCAACUGGUUACCUCUCUCUCUCUCUCUGUUUUGGUUGUGGUCAUUUUACAAACAAAGAUUCUAUUUUGCAGGGGGAGCAAUAAAAUGUAGCACCGCUAAGGACUUCGGAAUAUUCCAUUUUCCGUACCGCUUUUUUGAGUGUCAAAAUGGGAGAUGCUCUGUAAAUAUGUUAGGGAUAGUCUUCUCCCAUGGCAUUUGCUUAGUCCUUGUGGCUAUUGUUUUGAAUAUUCCACAUUUUUUUUAUUUAAUAUAUUAUCCUCUCCAAAUUUGUCUUUA
This is a long non-coding RNA of Macadamia integrifolia, 961 nucleotides long. RefSeq lists it as uncharacterized. The transcript is spliced from 2 exons. Lineage: Eukaryota; Viridiplantae; Streptophyta; Magnoliopsida; Proteales; Proteaceae. The record is from RefSeq and is a predicted model, not a curated record.